RNAcentral lists this ribosomal RNA (603 nucleotides) under Canthyporus brincki. RNAcentral's name for it is "SSU rRNA". It matches the Rfam family "Eukaryotic small subunit ribosomal RNA", at positions 32 to 601 of the family's 1831-position model. The record is from RNAcentral. Lineage: Eukaryota; Metazoa; Arthropoda; Insecta; Coleoptera; Dytiscidae.
UUGUCUCAAAGAUUAAGCCAUGCAUGUCUCAGUACGAGCCACGUUAAGGUGAAACCGCGAAAGGCUCAUUAAAUCAGUUAUGGUUCCUUAGAUCGUACCCACACUUACUUGGAUAACUGUGGUAAUUCUAGAGCUAAUACAUGCAAACAGAGCUCCGACCGGAGACGGAAGGAGUGCUUUUAUUAGAUCAAAACCAAUCGGUGGCGGGUGCGCGCUCGCGCGCUCCCGUCCGCCGCUCGACCUGGUGACUCUGAAUAACUUUCGGCUGAUCGCACGGUCUCGCACCGGCGACGCAUCUUUCAAAUGUCUGCCUUAUCAACUGUCGAUGGUAGGUUCUGCGCCUACCAUGGUCGUAACGGGUAACGGGGAAUCAGGGUUCGAUUCCGGAGAGGGAGCCUGAGAAACGGCUACCACAUCCAAGGAAGGCAGCAGGCGCGCAAAUUACCCACUCCCGGCACGGGGAGGUAGUGACGAAAAAUAACGAUACGGGACUCAUCCGAGGCCCCGUAAUCGGAAUGAGUACACUUUAAAUCCUUUAACGAGGACCCAUUGGAGGGUAAGUCUGGUGCCAGCAGCCGCGGUAAUUCCAGCUCGAAUAGCGUA